Molecule: non-coding RNA, 150 nt
Organism: Sarcophilus harrisii (Tasmanian devil)
Lineage: Eukaryota; Metazoa; Chordata; Mammalia; Dasyuromorphia; Dasyuridae
Gene: MIR125A
Product: microRNA mir-125a
Exons: 1
Source: RefSeq, marked provisional
AGAAAGGAAUGUCUGUUGCGCCCCUCUCAAUCCCUGAGACCCUAACUUGUGAUGUUUACCGUUUAAAUCCACGGGUUAGGCUCUUGGGAGCUGUGAGUUGUGCCUUUGCAUCUGGGAUAUUUGGUGGAACUUUUUUUUUUCUGUUUGUUU